Molecule: long non-coding RNA, 4332 nt
Filed under: Capsicum annuum
Lineage: Eukaryota; Viridiplantae; Streptophyta; Magnoliopsida; Solanales; Solanaceae
Description: long non-coding RNA (CANN_LNC004069)
Source: RNAcentral
UGGAAAACCGAUCCAUUACGAUAAAAAUACUAUCUCGCCCCCUUCUAGUCCUCGGCAAUCCCAACACGAAGUCCAUUGAUAUGUCAAGCCAAGGACGCAAAGGGGUGGACAAUGGGGUGUACAACCCGUGGGGUUGGAGCCGUGACUUGGCUCCUUUGCACUCAACACAUGGGCCACAAAUUUGGGCCACAUCCUUGUGCAUUCUAGGCCAAUAAAAUUGUUCUUCCAAAAUUUCGAGGGUCUUCUCGACCUCAAAAUGGCCCAUUAGACCGCCCUUGUGUGCUUCCCUCACAAAUAAUUCUCUCCACGAACUUGAGGGAACACACAAUCUCUACCUUUAAACAAGUAUCCAUCAAAUUUGGUAUAGGGAUGGGAACCCCUAUCCGUAACCCACCUAUCCCUUUCCAACUCUCCACUUCCCCUAUAGAUAGGAGCGAAGUGAGGGUCCUCGGGAUAUAAAGACUUGAGGCUUUCAAACCCCAUCAACUUAGACGACAAAGUAGACACAAGCACAUGUUUUCGGGACAAAGCAUCGGCAACCACAUUGUCUUUACCCUUCUUGUAUUGAAUAACAUAAGGGAAAGUUUCAAGAAAUUCAAUCCAUUUGGCAUGCCGCCAGUUAAGCUUGUCUUGUGCCCGUAGAUGCUUCAAGAAUUCAUGAUCCGUUCGGAUCACGAAUUCUUUAGGCAACAAAUAAUGUUGCCAAGUGGACAAGGAUCUAAUCAAGGCAUACAACUCAAAAUCAUACGUAGAUUAGUUUAGAGUUGCUCUUUUGAGCUUUUCGCUAAAGUAGGCAAUAGGCUUCAAUUCUUGCAUUAAAACCGUGCCUAUGCCGACUUUGUUUGCAUCACAUUCAACCUCAAAAGUCUUGUCAAAAUUCGGCAAUUGUAGCAAAGGGGCCGAGAUGAGCAUAACUUUCAAGUUCUCGAAGGCCUUAGCUUGUUCAUCUUCCCACUUGAAAGGCCGAUCCUUUUUAAUCACUUCGGUCAAAGGGGCGGCAAUGGUGCUAAAUCCUUUUACAAAACGUCUAUAAAAACUAGCCAACCCAAAGAAGCUUCUCACUUCACCUACGAUUUUUGGAGUUGGCCAAUUUUUAAUGGCGUCAAUCUUAGAUUCAUCCACUUCGACCCAUCUUGAGCUCACCACAAACCCAAGAAAUACAACCUCAUGGACACCAAAAGAACACUUUUCCAGAUUAGCAUAUAACUUCUCUUUUCGAAGGACAUCAAACACACAUUGUAAAUGCUUUACAUGCUCAUCUAAGGACUUACUAUACACUAAUACAUCAUCAAAAUAAACAACAACAAACUUUCCGAUAAAUGGCUUCAUCACAUGAUUCAUUAGCCUCAUGAAAGUACUUGGAGCGUUUGUUAGGCCGAAUGGCAUAACCAUCCAUUCAUAGAGUCCGAAUUUGGUCUUGAAGGAGGUUUUCCAUUCAUCACCCAGUUGCAUAUGAAUUUGGUGAUAGCCACUCCUCAAAUCAAUUUUAGAAAACAAACACAAACCAUUUAAUUCAUUAAGCAUAUCAUCUAACUUAGGAAUAGGGUGAUGAUAUUUUAUCGUUAUCUUGUUGGUGACUCGGUAAUCAAUCACAUACGCCAAGUCCCAUCUUUCUUAGGAACUAGUAGCACCGGAACCGCACAAGGGCUCAUACUCUCCUUAAUAUAUCCUUUGUUGAGGAGUUCCUCAACUUGGCAUUGCAAUUCCUUGGUAUCCAUCGGGUUGCUCCUAUAAGUCGGUUUGUUGGGCAAUUGUGAACCCGGCAUAAAAUCUAUUUUGUGCUCAAUUUCCCAAAGUGGGGGCAAUCCUUGCGGUAAUUCCAUUGGGAAGACAUCCUCGUAAUCCUGCAAAACAUGAGAAAUAGGAAGAGAAAUGGAAUUGUUAGUGGCGUUAGUGUUAAAACAAUGAGCCAAGAGGAGCAUCAGAGUGUCCUCGUCAUGAUCCACAAAUAAUUCUUUCCUCCUAGCCAUCAUCACCACACUUCCUUGACCCUUAGAAAUUAAGAGCCCCUAGGUUUCCCUUACUCCCUCACUCUCGGGUUCCUCUCUUGUUCCCUUACUCUCGGCCUUCUUUCCCUUUUCCCUCAAUUCCUGUAUCUUUUGGUAUAAUUCAUUCACUUGGGAAGGCAAUAAUGGAUGAGGAGCGACCUUUCAGCCAUCCUUCUCAAGUGUAUACCUAUUGGACCUUCCAUCAUGUUUGGUCGACCUAUCGUAUUGCCAAGGCCUUCCUAACAACAAAUGACAAGCUUGCAUUGGUAUCACAUCACAAAGCACCUCAUCAUGGUAGUUGACUAUCUUAAAACGUAUCACACAUUGCCUUGUGACCUUUAACUCGCUGCAUUCAUUCAACCAUUGCAACUUGUAAGGACUAGUGUGAGGUGUAGUGAUACAAUGCUAAGGGUGUAUCAAGAGAUUCCAACCAACACAAGAACAACAAAAUGAACAACAAAGUGCUAAUAAAUCAAAAAUGGCCACACACGGCUUCACUAGGCUUGCAACGCUUGUUUGAACUAGAAAAAUGAGUUUAACAACAAGAACAACAAAGACAAUAUUGCUAGUGAAUCGAAAGAGCGCCACAUGGCUUCACUAGACUUUUAUAUUCAACAACACAAUGUUAACAAGAUUUACAAAGAAAGAGAUAGAAACUUGACACAUAAUAUUCAUUAAUCUAAGAACCCUAACAAGAGAAAGGACCCUAAGACUAAUAAAUAUCAAUACCAAGUUCUUACUUGGACCAAGAGGAACUCAAAGAACCUCAAGAACCUAGUUUCUAUCCAAGAUACAACACUAGUAUCACUCUACUAGUGAGAAUUUGGUUUUGGCCUUUCCAAAUGAUGAGAAAGAGAAGUAAAAAUUUUACAAGUCUUUAUUUCUUGAAUAAUAGGAAUCAACUAAAGCAAGACUAGCCCUAUUACAUAGCUUAUAUUGUCACUUAGAAAGGAGGGACAAAGACCAAAUUACCUUUGGCAUUUAAGUGGGUGGGUUUGGGGUGUCUUGGUGGGCCUCUUUACAUUUUAUUAAAUAUAAGCCCUUAGAUGGGCUCACAAGGGCCUUACACAUGGCCAAGAAUGUGAACAAGGCUUGAAGUCGUUGCAACUCACGUGCUUGGCUUCGUGUGAAAGAUCUCAAGCUAAGAAUUCCAGUAUCAUCCUCUCCAUCUUGAAGGGAAUUUGUCCUCAAAUUUGGAUCAUUGUCAUCCUCUACCGUUUCCACCCAAGAGAGAUCACACACAUUGAAAGUGUUGUGUACUCGAUAUUCUGGGGGUAGAUCAAUCUUGUAGGCAUUGUCGUUGAUUCUUUCUAAUACUUGGAAUGGGCCAUCACCCCGUGGCAUCAACUUAGCAUUCCUUUGAGAUGGGAAUCUAUCCUUCUUUAGGUGCACCCACACCUAAUCUCCCGGUUUAAGAAUGAGCUUUCUUCUUCCUUUGUUGGCUCGCCUCGCAACUUCUUGGUUUUUCUUCUCAAACCGGAACCUCACCUUCUCAUGUAGCUUUUUCAUGGCCUCGGCCCGUUUGCUUCCAUCUAAGAUUAUCACAAGAUUACUUGGCAAAGGGGUUAAAUCCAAAGAGGUGAGGGGGUUGAUGCCAUAUACACACUCAAAGGGUGUCAUCCCUAUGCUCGAGUGUAUAACACGAUUAUAAGCAAACUCAAUCAACGGUAAGUGCUCCUCCCAAGAAGUUNNNNNNNNNNNNNNNNNNNNNNNNNNNNNNNNNNNNNNNNNNNNNNNNNNNNNNNNNNNNNNNNNNNNNNNNNNNNNNNNNNNNNNNNNNNNNNNNNNCUACCCCACAUGGACUUCCAAAAGUGGCUUAGGAAUUUAGAAUACCUAUCACUCACUAUGCUCCUCAGAACACCAUGAAGUUUUACAACAUUAUCAAUAAACAAAGAGGCUACGCUAGGCGCAUCAUCACAUUUAGAACAAGGAAUAAAGUAAGCCAUCUUGGAAAAUCGAUCCACCACGACAAAAAUACUAUACCGCCCCUUUCUAGUCCUCGGAAAUCCCAACACGAAGUCCAUUGAUAUGUCAAGUCAAGGACGCAAAGAGGUGGACAAUGAGGUGUACAACCCGUGGGGUUGGAGCCGUGACUUGGCUCCUUUGCGCUCAACACAUUGGCCGCAAAUCCGGGCCACAUCCUUGUGCAUUCUAGGCCAAUAAAAUUGUUCUUCCAAAAUUCCGAGGGUCUUCUCGACCCCAAAAUGGCCCAUUAGACCACCAUUGUGUGCUUCCCUCACAAAUAAUUCUCUCCACGAACUUGAGGGAACACACAAUCGUCUACCUUUAAACAAGUAUCCAUCAAAUUUGGUAUAGGGAUGAGAACCCCUAUCCUUAACCCACC